GACUGGCUCUGUGGCGAUCGCUUCCGGGAAAGAGACGUGCGCUCCGCCGCGGCGCUGGCGGCUGCCCCGAGCGGCGGGACCUCGCGGUGCGGGACGCGGCAGCCGCAGCCCGGGAAAGGUAGAUUCUCUCGACCCUGAGUUCUGAAACUUCCCAGUACAAUGACUCAAGCUGAAAUUAAACUGUGUUCUUUGUUGCUACAAGAGCAUUUUGGAGAGAUUGUAGAAAAAAUUGGAGUGCACCUAAUCAGAACUGGCAGCCAGCCACUUAGGGUGAUUGUCCAUGACACAGCAACAUCACUGGAUCAGGUGAAAAAAGCACUUUGUGUCCUUAUCCAACAUAACCUGGUGCUAUAUCAAGUGCAUAAGCGCGGUGUGGUGGAGUAUGAAGCCCAGUGCAACCGGGUGUUACGAAUGCUUAGGUAUCCCCGGUACAUCUAUACUACCAAAGCACUUUAUGGUGACACUGGAGAGCUGAUUGUUGAGGAGCUGCUGUUGAAUGGCAAAAUGACAAUGUCAGCUGUUGUGAAGAAAGUGGCAGACCGACUCACAGAGACCGUGGAAGAUGGCAAGACCAUGGAUUAUGCUGAGGUGUCAAACACUUUUGUGCAGCUGGCAGACACACGCUUUGUACAGCGUUGCCCCAUGGUGCAUAUCCCUGAGAAUUCAGACACCGGGCCCUCACCGCCUGCCCCUAGCCUUGUCAUUAAUGAAAAGGACAUGUACCUGGUUCCUAAACUGAGCUUGAUAGGGAAAGGUAAAAGGAGAAGAUCAUCAGAUGAAGAUGCUGCUGGUGAGCCCAAGGCCAAGAGACCAAAGCGCCCCAUGGAUAGCAAAGAGCCCAUUCCAGAUGAUGGUAUUUAUUGGCAGGCAAACCUUGACAGGUUCCACCAACACUUCCGUGACCAAGCCAUUGUGAGUGCAGUUGCAAAUAGAAUGGACCAGACAAGCAGCGAGAUCAUGCGGGCCAUGCUUCGGAUGAGUGAGGUUACCACUUCCUCUGAUGCCCCCUUCACUCAGCCAUUAUCUUCCAAUGAGAUCUUCAGAUCCCUGCCUGUUGGCUAUAACAUCUCUAAGCAAGUCCUCGACCAGUAUCUCACACUACUUGCAGAUGACCCACUAGAGUUUGUUGGAAAGUCUGGCGACAGCGGUGGAGGAAUGUACAUCAUCAACUUCUGUAAGGCAUUAGCAUCGCUAGCCAUAGCCACUCUAGAGUCUGUCAUACAGGAGAGAUUUGGAUCUCGGUGUGCCAGAAUAUUCCGUCUGGUUUUGCAAAAGAAACACCUAGAGCAGAAGCAAGUGGAAGACUUCGCAAUGAUUCCUGCAAAGGAGGCAAAAGAUAUGCUAUAUAAGAUGCUUUCAGAAAAUUUCAUAUCACUUCAGGAAAUUCCAAAAACACCAGACCAUGCCCCGUCCCGGACCUUCUAUUUAUAUACUGUGAAUGUCCUAUCAGCUGUGCGAAUGUUGCUGCACAGGUGCUACAAGAGCGUAAGCAACUUGAUAGAAAGGCGGCAAUUUGAAACCAAAGAAAACAAGCGUCUACUUGAAAAGUCUCAGCGGGUAGAAGCCAUCAUUGCAUCUGUGCAGGCCACAGGUGCGGAGGAAGCACAGCUGCAGGAAAUAGAGGAGAUGAUCACGGCCCCUGAGCGUCAGCAGCUGGAGACUCUGAAGCGCAAUGUCAACAAGUUGGAUGCCAGUGAGAUCCAGGUAGAUGAAACCAUCUUCCUGCUGGAGUCAUACAUUGAGAGCACCACGAAGAGACAAUGACCCAGAAGAAGCAUCUUCCUCAGAAGGCUUGGGGGGAUGGAGAGAAAAAGGCAGUGCCUGGGAUCUUGGCUGUUACCAGAGGAGCGCGGAUCCUUUGUUGUCACUGAGGAUGCUACCGUUCUCUUAAGGAGCCCUGGCCCUUACCUGAAGCAUCAAUUCCUGCAAAUUCCUCAGCCUGCUGGCACAGCUCCUUCAUCCCACAGGCACUGACUUUCCAACCUCCACCACUGACCUUUGGCCAUGCUGGUGCAGAUGCUUGAUACACACUUGCAUGAGACAUCCGCCAUGGGCUCCAGGUUUUCAGCUGGACUCCUGCAGGACGUUGCUGCGGGAUCCAGGCCCUCGGCUGGAUUCUUUGAGUCACUAGUGUGAGAACGGAUCUGAGCUCUUCUGCAUUUGACUUUUGGUGAAGAUUAUAAAAUAAUCCUGACAAUUAUG
Octodon degus (degu) is the source of this 2202-nucleotide RNA transcript. It is a transcript of the gene named RNA polymerase III subunit C, with no coding region annotated. The record is from RefSeq and is a predicted model, not a curated record. Lineage: Eukaryota; Metazoa; Chordata; Mammalia; Rodentia; Octodontidae. The transcript has 16 exons.